AGCGAACGCUGGCGGCAGGCUUAACACAUGCAAGUCGAGCGCCCCGCAAGGGAGCGGCAGACGGGAGAGUAACACGUGGGAACGUACCCUUUGGUUCGGAACAACCCAGGGAAACUUGGGCUAAUACCGGAUAAGUCCGUAAGGAGAAAGAUUUAUCGCCAAUGGAUCGGCCCGCGUCUGAUUAGCUAGUUGGUGAGGUAAUGGCUCACCAAGGCGACGAUCAGUAGCUGGUCGAGAGGAUGAUCAGCCUCACUGGGACUGAGACACGGCCCAGACUCCUACGGGAGGCAGCAGUGGGAUAUUGGACAAUGGGCGCAAGCCUGAUCCAGCCAUGCCGCGUGGGUGAUGAAGGCCCUAGGGUUGUAAAGCCCUUUCGGCGGGGAAGAUAAUGACGGUACCCGCAGAAGAAGCCCCGGCUAACUUCGUGCCAGCCGCCGCCGUAAU
This 444-nucleotide ribosomal RNA is filed under the name uncultured bacterium. RNAcentral describes it as "bacterial SSU rRNA". It matches the Rfam family "Bacterial small subunit ribosomal RNA", at positions 29 to 524 of the family's 1533-position model. The record is from RNAcentral.